Cynoglossus semilaevis (tongue sole) is the source of this 1355-nucleotide long non-coding RNA. RefSeq lists it as uncharacterized. The record is from RefSeq and is a predicted model, not a curated record. NCBI's taxonomy places the organism in Eukaryota, Metazoa, Chordata, Actinopteri, Pleuronectiformes, Cynoglossidae. The transcript has 4 exons.
UGGCCAUGGCAGCGGCUGUGACCGACGAAGCUCAGCGAGCCAAUCAGUAAGCUCCCAGUUCAACCAUCCAUCCAGGGAGGGGUCUGAGGAAAAGAUCAGUGAAUCAUGUCAUUGUGUCAUACCGUGACGUGUGACUGGGGGAAAAGAAAGAAAAAAACUGGUAUAAAACAACCAGCGGCGUGUGGCGAGGUUCAUGGCAGGAUCGAUGCACAGAUCGAUGGAACAGUGAUCGCAAUCAACACGAUGGACCCCGAUCGACCACCGGUGUUGGAGAACAGUAGAGGGCGCUCACACUCUUGACUAUUAUGGGAUAGUCAUGUUCGUUACUCAGACAACCGGUGAAAUGGCUGCAAAAAACAAGGUUUCUGCAAAAAAAAUGAAUCUGGGUGGUGGUGCUGUGGCUGAGGCAGAUUACAGACCUCCGAGGUCCAAACCCUGGGAGGAGACCUGCAGCACCACAGGCUAUAGAAAGACUGCACGACCACAGGCCUGUCAUCAACAUGCAGACGGAGGAGAGCGGUGCACGGCCUGUGGAUGACGACCAGGCAGAAAAGCUGAGAGAAGCUUCUUUAUUUUUUACCAUCAGAUUAUAAUACAUGACAGAACAACAUACACUGACUUUUAUUUCUAUAGUUAAUAAUAUAUAAGACAGACAUUUAUCAAAAUUAUAAUAAUCUGUAGGGGUGUGUAUUGACAAAAAUCUGACGUAUGACGAUACGGGCCACAAUACGAUAUACUGCUCCUCUAAUAAUCUGUAACAUUACUAUUGAGGCUACAGAUUUCCUUAGAAAAAUACUACCUCUCCAACAGUUAACAGUCAGAUGACUGCGUAUCAUCAGUGUCGACUCACAGUCUCUGACGCUGGUGGACUUUGAACUUGUUCCAUCAAGUCCCAUCUCUCAGAUCACUAUUUCCUUAUUAUUGACUGUUAAAGAAACCAAACUUUGAACAAACGCUCAGGAAACACCUGAUAAGAACAGAAGACAGUCGACCGCCUGUCUCACUGUAGUUGAAUCAACACGAUCACUACAGGUCACAGUGAUCUGUUCCACAGUGAUCACCUUAUCUUGACGUGUGAAUCAGCACCAAAGGCUACGUGUCUAUGGAGAUUCUAUCAAUCGCGGCAUCGAACCUCACUCUGGACUGCUUCGAGCCCCGCGGACCCUAGCUUUCACAAGUAUGUGCAGUGACGGACGCCUGAGCUCUUUUUUGUUUUGCAACGAUCAGAUCUGCACAUGAAUGCUGAUCACGUCCUUCAAACCCAAGUGGGGGCGACGAAGGGGCAUCAAGCAGCUGAGUAAGAGGAGGCUGCAUAUUCAUGAAGACGGACACGAGACACUUCUCUAAAAAAAGAA